GGAACUGGAAGUUGUGGAAACACUGCUUGUGAGAGCAGGUGCUUCUUAUUUGGUGAGCCAGCCAUCUGCAAUGCCGAAUGAGUAGAAGAGACCGGAAGCCUCGGCCAAGAUUCAUCAAAGCCAUCAACCAGGUCCUGCGCCAUGGACACAAAGCUGGACCCUGCCCGGGAUGAUCUGCCUCUCAUGGCCAACACCAGCCACAUGCUGGUGAAGCACUAUGUCCUGGAUCUGGAUGUGGAUUCUGAAAGUCGAGUCAUUGAGGGCACCAUAGUUCUUUUCUUUGGAGAUGGGAACAGAUUUAAAACACAGGCAAUUUCCUCCCAGGACACCAUCCAAAUGGAGUCAGAGAAAGACUGUACUUUUAGGACAACAGAACCCUGCCAUGUGCCCAAGAUGGAUGCAAGUACCUUCUCACCUCGGAUGGGGUAUAAUGAAUGUGCAGUCUGUGGUAAAGGUGAUCAAGAUGCCUUUGAUAACGAUGGUAACCAUGACAACUGGGAAUGUGAUUCUGAGAUCUCUAGCUCAAAGUACUGCUGUGACACAGGGAAUCAUGGGAGACAGGAUUUCUUGCUAGUGUUGGACUGCUGUGAUCUAUCUGUGCUAAAGGUAGAGGAGGUGGAUGUGGCUGCUGUGCCAGGCCUUGAGAGAUUCACAAAGGCUCCCAAGCUUGCAGCCACUCCUGAGAAGCUCAGGCGUGACAUUGUCCGUGACCUGGUGGCUCUGCCUGCAGAUGCUUGGAGGGAGCAGUUUGACUGCUACGCUCUCUGCAGCCAGGCUCCUGGAUGUGGGGAGCUCUUCUUUGACACUGACAGUUGGAGCUUACGUAUCAGGAGGACGGGGGCUCAGACAGCCGCUGACUUUCCUCAUGCCAUCAGGAUAUGGUACAAAACUAAACCUGAGGGGCAGUCAGUGACUUGGACCUCAGACCAGGAUGGCAGGCCAUGUGUUUAUACUAUGGGAUCCCCCAUCAACAACAGGGCCCUUUUUCCAUGCCAGGAACCACCGGUUGCCAUGUCAACAUGGCAGGCUACAGUUCGAGCAGCUGCAUCUUUUGUUGUUUUAAUGAGUGGGGAAAAUUCUGCUAAGCCCACACCACUUCGAGAAGGGUACAUGAGCUGGCAUUACUAUGUGACCAUGCCAAUGCCAGCCUCCACCUUCACAAUUGCAGUGGGAUCCUGGACAGAAGUGAAGCCUAAGACAUCCCCGUCAGAUGAGCUGGUGAUAGAGCACCCUCUCCUGCCUGCAAAAGCUGACUUCAGGUAUGCUGACACCUGCAGUCAUGUAGAAUACCCCUGCCGAUUCCAGGAUGCUUCUGCUGCCACCCAGGAGAUCAUUCCUCACCGAGUGUUUGCCCCACUGUGCCUUGAGGGUGCCUGCCAAGAGGCCCUGCUGUGGCUGGUCCCUCCUUGCCUGUCAGCUGCGCACUCUGUCUUGGGAACACACCCUUUCUCCCGGCUGGACAUACUCAUUGUCCCUGCCAACUUUCCAAGUCUGGGGAUGGCCAGCCCACACAUCAUCUUCCUCUCUCAGAGCACCUUAACAGGCGUGAGCCAUCUCUGUGGGACCCGUCUCUGCCAUGAAAUUGCUCAUGCCUGGUUUGGCCUAGCCAUCGGGGCCCGAGACUGGACAGAGGAGUGGCUCAGCGAAGGGUUCGCCACUCACCUGGAAGAUGUGUUUUGGGCCGAAGCACAGCAGCUGCCCCCCCACGAGGCCCUGGAGCAGCAAGAGCUGAGGGCUUGCCUGCGCUGGCAUCGCCUACAGGAUGAGCUGCGGAACUCCCCAGAGGAAAUGCAGGUGUUGAGACCCAACAAAGAGGACACUGGCCAUGUGAGCUCUUCAGGCGCGUCCGUUGUCAAGCAUGGACUCAACCCAGAGAAGGGCUUCAUGCAGGUUCAUUACUUAAAGGGCUACUUCCUUCUCCGAUUCCUAGCCAGAACACUUGGAAAGGAAACUUACUUUUCGUUUUUAAGAAAAUUUGUACACCUGUUUCAUGGGCAGUUGAUCCUUUCACAGGAUUUCCUUCAAAUUCUGUUGGAGAGCAUUCCAGAAGACAAAAGGCUCGGCCUGACUGUUGAGAACAUCAUCCGUGAUUGGCUUGAAUGUUCCGGAAUACCUAAGGCGCUGCGGGAGGAGCAGGAGGCCGAGGACUGCAAACGGAGUGGGCUGGCAGGACGAGUGGGCUCAGAGGUGGCGAAAUGGAUCCGACUGAACCGCAGACCCCGAAAACGCAAAAGAGGGAAGCAAAAAGCCGCCUUUGAAAAGCUUUCUCCGGACCAGAUCGUCUUGCUUUUGGAGUGUCUCUUAGAGCAGAAGGCCCUGAGCCCCCAGACAUUGCAGAGCCUCCAGCAGACGUACCGCCUCCAGGAGCAGGAUGCUGAGGUUCGCCAUCGAUGGUGUGAACUGAUCAUCAAGCACAAGUACACAAGAGCGUACGAGCAGGUGACAAGGUUCCUGCAGGAGGAUCAGGCCAUGGGCGUCUACCUCUAUGGGGAGCUGAUGGUGGGUGAGGACGCCAGGCAGCAGCAGCUUGCCCACAGGUGCUUUGAGCUGGUGAAGGAACACAUGGACAGAGCCUCAGCCCAGGUGGUGUCUGAAAUGCUGUUUUAAAGAGUCCAGGUCUCCAUGUGUCCACAGCCGCUGGCAGGAAGAUGCUGAGGCACUGCCCCGCCGUCAUUGGACCCGCCCUCCGGUGCCUACUGAGCUGAUAUCAGUUCAUUUCACACACUGGCUCAGUUCAGCAGGAACAGGAGUCGAGCCCUUGAGCAGGACAGAUCACAGUGAGACUCUCUUUCCUAUGCCUCCUCCUAGCCCCGAUGGGGCCAGGACUGCACUGACCCUGGACAUCAAAGGGAGGAUUAUGUGGCUGCUAAAGCCAUCAGCCGACAGCAGCGGUCACUCACUUGCAUUUUGGGCUCCCGUGGCAUGUAUAAAAGGCACAUAUAAAGCCUCAUAAACUGUUGCACCUGGCUGCUGCCUUUGUUCCCGGGCCUGGAAAGACUGAGCUGUGACUUGAAAUUGUUCAGAGAGUGAAGAUCUCUCCCUAGGCAGAUGGAGAACUGGCUGCCUGCUGCCAUGGUCUGAGAUGACAGCUUCACGCGACACCUUCUGUGGCUGGUCCCCAGAGAUUCCGCAGAGUCCUUUUGAUGUGUUCACUCAAUAGAACCUUUCUGUUUUUGGAAAAUACAGGAAAGCCUAAGAUGUCUUAAUAAAGUGUCGGAUUUGCUGGUA
RNA transcript from Microtus oregoni (creeping vole), 3228 nucleotides. It is a transcript of the gene named aminopeptidase O-like, with no coding region annotated. NCBI's taxonomy places the organism in Eukaryota, Metazoa, Chordata, Mammalia, Rodentia, Cricetidae. The transcript is spliced from 17 exons. The record is from RefSeq and is a predicted model, not a curated record.